AUUGAACGCUGGCGGCAGGCCUAACACAUGCAAGUCGAGCGGAUGAAGGGAGCUUGCUCCUGGAUUCAGCGGCGGACGGGUGAGUAAUGCCUAGGAAUCUGCCUGGUAGUGGGGGAUAACGUCCGGAAACGGGCGCUAAUACCGCAUACGUCCUGAGGGAGAAAGUGGGGGAUCUUCGGACCUCACGCUAUCAGAUGAGCCUAGGUCGGAUUAGCUAGUUGGUGGGGUAAAGGCCUACCAAGGCGACGAUCCGUAACUGGUCUGAGAGGAUGAUCAGUCACACUGGAACUGAGACACGGUCCAGACUCCUACGGGAGGCAGCAGUGGGGAAUAUUGGACAAUGGGCGAAAGCCUGAUCCAGACAUGCCGCGUGUGUGAAGAAGGUCUUCGGAUUGUAAAACACUUUAAGUUGGGAGGAAGGGCAGUAAGUUAAUACCUUGCUGUUUUGACGUUACCAACAGAAUAAGCACCGGCUAACUUCGUG
This 484-nucleotide ribosomal RNA is filed under the name uncultured bacterium. Its description in RNAcentral is "partial 16S ribosomal RNA". It matches the Rfam family "Bacterial small subunit ribosomal RNA", at positions 30 to 507 of the family's 1533-position model. The record is from RNAcentral.